This 484-nucleotide ribosomal RNA is filed under the name uncultured bacterium. RNAcentral describes it as "partial 16S ribosomal RNA". It matches the Rfam family "Bacterial small subunit ribosomal RNA", at positions 30 to 507 of the family's 1533-position model. The record is from RNAcentral.
AUUGAACGCUGGCGGCAGGCCUAACGCAUGCAAGUCGAGCGGAUGAAGGGAGCUUGCUCCUGGAUUCAGCGGCGGACGGGUGAGUAAUGCCUAGGAAUCUGCCUGGUAGUGGGGGAUAACGUCCGGAAACGGGCGCUAAUACCGCAUACGUCCUGAGGGAGAAAGUGGGGGAUCUUCGGACCUCACGCUAUCAGAUGAGCCUAGGUCGGAUUAGCUAGUUGGUGGGGUAAAGGCCUACCAAGGCGACGAUCCGUAACUGGUCUGAGAGGAUGAUCAGUCACACUGGAACUGAGACACGGUCCAGACUCCUACGGGAGGCAGCAGUGGGGAAUAUUGGACAAUGGGCGAAAGCCUGAUCCAGCCAUGCCGCGUGUGUGAAGAAGGUCUUCGGAUUGUAAAGCACUUUAAGUUGGGAGGAAGGGCAGUAAGUUAAUACCUCGCUGUUUUGACGUUACCAACAGAAUAAGCACCGGCUAACUUCGUG